This 554-nucleotide ribosomal RNA is filed under the name uncultured bacterium. Its description in RNAcentral is "bacterial SSU rRNA". It matches the Rfam family "Bacterial small subunit ribosomal RNA", at positions 339 to 906 of the family's 1533-position model. The record is from RNAcentral.
CUACGGGAGGCAGCAGUGGGGAAUUUUCCGCAAUGGGCGAAAGCCUGACGGAGCAAUACCGCGUGAGGGAAGACGGCCUAUGGGUUGUAAACCUCUUUUUUCAGGGAGGAAUAACUGACGUGUACCUGAAGAAUAAGCAUCGGCUAACUCCGUGCCAGCAGCCGCGGUAAGACGGAGGAUGCAAGUGUUAUCCGGAAUCACUGGGCGUAAAGCGUCUGUAGGUUGUUGAACAAGUCAACUGUUAAAUCUUGAGGCUCAACUCCAAAAUCGCAGUCGAAACUGUUUGACUAGAGUAUAGUGGGGGUAAAGGGAAUUUCCAGUGGAGCAGUGAAAUGCGUAGAUAUUGGAAGGAACACCGAUGGCGAAGGCACUUUACUGGGCUAUUACUGACACUCAGAGACGAAAGCUAGGGUAGCAAAUGGGAUUAGAUACCCCAGUAGUCCUAGCCGUAAACAAUGGAUACUAGAUGUUGAACAGAUCGACCUGUGCAGUAUCAAAGCUAACGCGUUAAGUAUCCCGCCUGGGAAGUAUGCUCGCAAGAGUGAAACUCAAAU